Molecule: ribosomal RNA, 253 nt
Filed under: uncultured bacterium
Lineage: Bacteria
Description: partial 16S ribosomal RNA
Rfam family: Bacterial small subunit ribosomal RNA
Source: RNAcentral
UACAGAGGGGGCAAGCGUUGUUCGGAAUUACUGGGCGUAAAGGGCGCGUAGGCGGCCGCCUAAGUCAGACGUGAAAUCCCUCGGCUCAACCGGGGAACUGCGUCUGAUACUGGGUGGCUUGAAUCCGGGAGAGGGAUGCGGAAUUCCAGGUGUAGCGGUGAAAUGCGUAGAUAUCUGGAGGAACACCGGUGGCGAAGGCGGCAUCCUGGACCGGCACUGACACUGAGGCACGAAAGCGUGGGGAGCAAACAGG